Non-coding RNA from Punica granatum (pomegranate), 2049 nucleotides. NCBI's taxonomy places the organism in Eukaryota, Viridiplantae, Streptophyta, Magnoliopsida, Myrtales, Lythraceae. The record is from RefSeq and is a predicted model, not a curated record.
AGAAUGAGGAAAGGAUCGAUAAAGCUCAUUUGCAUUGUUCCUCGACUGUACCCAUUUACAUUUUCACGGAUAGGAAAAUGCAGGAAAGAAUCUGCUGUCAUCAAUACUCUGUCUGCAUUGUGUUCACUGUUCUUUUACCGAAUUUAAGUUUCCUUUCAUUUUUUUUUCCAGGGAAAACCUCAAUUUGCAGAUGAUAUAUAUUAAGGGCCUCCACUCCAACCUACUUACAGUACUUACCUCAAGCUCUUAAAUUGCUGGGUGAUCUUCACUGUUGAGGUUCAGUUUUGUCAAGAGUGGACAAGGGUCUCAUUUACUUUGAUCAAUGAAGCUUGUUCUUACUCCACUCCAGUCCAGUUAACCCAAAUUUAAAACAGGGCGUACAUUACUUCCUGCAGUAAGCUGUUCAGAUCAUUUUAUCCCAAGCUCACAAAUUCAUCUUCCCAAGUCGAGUUUCUGGAAGAGGGACAUGUGACUUGCUAAUUUUGUUGGGCCAGCUUCCGAACUUUAGAAUAUGCGAAGAGGGUUGGAUAAGUUUUAUCUUAAACAUCAUCAUUUACAUUCCAGGGAUAGCUUCUUCUUGUUCUGCUGUCUCUGACUUCUUACCAUUAUGUUUUCCUUGUUCGACGAUGUUGACAUGGUCAGUACAAAGAAAUGAUCUUAUCAAUUUUUGUCCUUUAUUUUCUGACGGAUCGAAAGGCUUUGUCACUCGUUAGGUGGCCGGAUGCAUGGAGAGAUGUUCUCCGGGGCAAAAUAGUUCAAUGCAGCCAGUGUGAAGGCAAGGCACCAGCCGAUCCACCCAUCAGUUCUGUCUUGACUAAACGUGCCUUCAUGCAAUGAUAUGAAUGGACGCUCAAUUAAAAACACAUGGCUGACACUGCAUGAAGCCUGCAUUACGGGAUGGUUCAUAGAGGUUGAACAGGUCAGUAAGAGGGAGAUUCAUUUGGGAUCGGUGGCAGGUUCCCCUAGAUUAAACUCUUAAUUUUGGGAUGUUUUAGAGUGGCAUGGUGGGCAUGGUUUGGGGUUCAUAAGGAGUUUUCUCUUUUUUCUUUGCGGGUUCGCGCAAAAUUUAGCCUUUGCAACAUCGCCCAGCAACUCUCAGUGUCAUGUUGAUUUCAGUGUCUUUUCGAACCUUUGAGAACCUGCUGUCUUCUCUCUGAUUUUUAUUGAAGCAGCCCAACAAGGCAAAGAAACAAGCUGCCUGUCUCAUCCCAAGCUCUGUCAUCCGACAGGCCUGGUUUACCUUAUAGAUCUCCGUGUUGUCACAGACGAGGAUAAUUCAUGUUUCUUAAUAUCUGUGAGUUCCAGAGAGUCCUCUCAUGAAAAGAAUAUGCAAGGUGCGGGAAAUGACCUAAAUUGGUCUUGUAUAGAAUAAUGGUGUGGCCUCAUGGAAAUGGCCAAGCCGACUAACUAUUCAUAUGCACUCUGGCUACUUCGAUAUCUCUACCUCAUUUCCUGACCUUGUCAGAUGACAUUUGUUUAUCCCUACAGGUGGAGUAUCCUUCACAAGCAAUCUCUCAUCUUUAUACAUUGAAUUUUUUUUUUUUGUCGAAACGGGAUUAAUACAAGAGGAGUGUGAUAAUGUGAUUGAUGAAUGCUUCAGCCACAACAUGGCUCCGGAAGUAGUCCAUGGGCUUAUAUGUGGGAUGUUGAAGAUCAAGUUGGCUUGGACGGCUCGGUGUAAGUUUCGUCGAAGUGUUUUCUCUUAAACCUUUUCUCAGUGGGUUUACAUGAUUAAUCCCCCCUGUGCAGUUCCCAUUCCAUUUCUGGUGUAGGACAGAUUAUGGGGUUCAAAAACAAUCUUGCCUUUCUUGUCUUUUAUCUUUCACGGAAGCAAAAAUAGAAUUGGAUCAUUGAAUGCAUUACAGGUCCUCGUUACUCAGUACACAUAAACGGAAGAUUAGAAGGUUAUUUUAAUGGCUCGAAGGGUCUAAGGCAAGGUGACCCUCUGUCCCCUAUUCUUUUUGUCAUGGCUGUUGACGUUCUUUCCAAACUGCUUGAUAGUGCUGCAUGCAAGAGGUGUCCUGGCAUAUCAUCCUUUUUGUAAAAAAA